GUCCUCUCUUCAGCAGCACAUAUACUAAAAUUGGAAAGAUACAGAGAUUAGCAUGGCCCCUGCACAAGGAUGACAUGCAAAUUUGUGAGGCAUUCCAUAUUUUU
Molecule: small nuclear RNA, 104 nt
Organism: Ochotona princeps (American pika)
Lineage: Eukaryota; Metazoa; Chordata; Mammalia; Lagomorpha; Ochotonidae
Source: RefSeq, a predicted model, not a curated record